This 582-nucleotide long non-coding RNA is filed under the name Phoenix dactylifera (date palm). RNAcentral's name for it is "long non-coding RNA (PDAC_LNC021233)". The record is from RNAcentral. Lineage: Eukaryota; Viridiplantae; Streptophyta; Magnoliopsida; Arecales; Arecaceae.
CUUAGAGAGCUUGGAAACGGCAGACUGACCACCUUACCGCUGUCAUUUGUCUUGUGGAGUAUAAGCUUGGGUAUUUGCUGUGCCACAGGAAGAGUGUUGGACCCAAAAGGUUCCUGCAUCGAAUCAGUCUUCCAAGUGUGAUUAUGUAUCAAGGAAGAAGCAAAAGUAGUAUAUACAUUUUUUUUUCUACAAUAUUAACAAACACAGGUUUCAGAGAAAUAGGUCAGUCAAACAGCCAAGGAUCCUGAAAGAAAUGUGAAGAUUCACCUGUGGGCCAUCAGGAAUUUGUCAGCAGGCAUGCAAAACAGCACACCAUGCCCAAGAAGCUUUGUAAGGUGAAAGGUUUCCUCAGGGAUCAAGAGUUCCAUACCUUCCAUGCACAAACUUGACUCGUAGGGAAUCCUUCCCCUGCAAAACAUCUACAACAUACGACAAGCAUCAUUGCAUGCCUGAUCACCAUCCUUCUUAGGCAUGAGCACCAUCCGGACCAACAUAGUGCCGACCAGGGGUUUGGGAACCGGUUGCCCAAAUAAAAUUUCUACCGAUCUUUGAAAUUUGAUCAAGUACGCCGUUCUAUAUACA